RNAcentral lists this ribosomal RNA (277 nucleotides) under uncultured bacterium. Its description in RNAcentral is "partial 16S ribosomal RNA". It matches the Rfam family "Bacterial small subunit ribosomal RNA", at positions 28 to 305 of the family's 1533-position model. The record is from RNAcentral.
GAUAAACGCUGGCGGCGUGCCUAACACAUGCAAGUCGAGCGGUAGGGCCCAGCUUGCUGGGUACACGAGCGGCGAACGGGUGAGUAACACGUGGGUGACCUGCCCUCAGCUCUGGGAUAAGCCUGGGAAACUGGGUCUAAUACCGGAUAGGAUCUUCCGGUGCAUGCCGGGGGGUGGAAAGUUUUUUCGGCUGGAGAUGGGCCCGCGGCCUAUCAGCUUGUUGGUGGGGUGAUGGCCUACCAAGGCGACGACGGGUAGCCGGCCUGAGAGGGCGACC